This 254-nucleotide ribosomal RNA is filed under the name uncultured bacterium. Its description in RNAcentral is "partial 16S ribosomal RNA". It matches the Rfam family "Bacterial small subunit ribosomal RNA", at positions 524 to 776 of the family's 1533-position model. The record is from RNAcentral.
GACGAACCGUGCGAACGUUAUUCGGAAUCACUGGGCUUAAAGCGCGUGUAGGCGGGAGGGCACGUCCGUUGCUGAAAUCCCCCGGCUCAACCGGGGAACGGGCGCGGAUACGACUCUCCUUGAGGGGCGUAGGGGGACCUGGAACUUCCGGUGGAGCGGUGAAAUGCGUUGAGAUCGGAAGGAACGCCCGUGGCGAAAGCGAGGUCCUGGACGCCUACUGACGCUGAGACGCGAAAGCCAGGGGAGCGAACGGG